AGUGAACGCUGGCGGUAGGCCUAACACAUGCAAGUCGAACGGCAGCACAGUAAGAGCUUGCUCUUACGGGUGGCGAGUGGCGGACGGGUGAGGAAUACAUCGGAAUCUACUUUUUCGUGGGGGAUAACGUAGGGAAACUUACGCUAAUACCGCAUACGACCUACGGGUGAAAGCAGGGGAUCUUCGGACCUUGCGCGAUUGAAUGAGCCGAUGUCGGAUUAGCUAGUUGGCGGGGUAAAGGCCCACCAAGGCGACGAUCCGUAGCUGGACUGAGAGGAUGAUCAGCCACACUGGAAGUGAGACACGGUCCAGACUCCUACGGGAGGGAGCAGUGGGGAAUAUUGGACAAUGGGCGCAAGCCUGAUCCAGCCAUACCGCGUGGGUGAAGAAGGCCUUCGGGUUGUAAAGCCCUUUUGUUGGGAAAGAAAAGCAGCAGGUUAAUACCCCGCUGUUCUGACGGUACCCAAAGAAUAAGCACCGGCUAACUUCGUG
Molecule: ribosomal RNA, 492 nt
Filed under: uncultured bacterium
Lineage: Bacteria
Description: partial 16S ribosomal RNA
Rfam family: Bacterial small subunit ribosomal RNA
Source: RNAcentral